This 942-nucleotide unclassified non-coding RNA is filed under the name Hevea brasiliensis (rubber tree). The record is from RNAcentral. Lineage: Eukaryota; Viridiplantae; Streptophyta; Magnoliopsida; Malpighiales; Euphorbiaceae.
UUUUUCAAUUGUCAUUGCUCUUAAUUUUUAUUGUAAGUGAAACGAAACUUGGUUUCUGGAGUUAUAUUUCCUGAUACCAUAGUGGAAUUAACAUACAAGAGAAAUGGGCGUGCUUGAUGAUGUAAACCCCAAUAAAGGGCCGAAAAUCCUAUAUAUGAUUUGCUUAUUAUGCCUACAACUAAGUUUGGCUCUGUGGGUUUUUGUUAAAUUGAACUGUUCUCGGGAUUAUGAUUUUUUAUUCACAUAUAAACCUUUGCAGGCGAAAGCAGAAGUAGUUUUCAAGAUGCCAGAAUCUAACUCAACUCUGAAUUUGGAAGACGUCCAAGGGCUUGUAACGUGGGUGCUUGCUGAAGGAUUCAUGCCAUCAUGGGUAUUUAUCAAGAACAAGCCUCUAAUUCCAAAAGUGGCUUUGCUUUUCAUACCUGGCCUGGAUGCAGCGUUAUACUUAUCACAGUCUAAGUUACUUCGUAGUUUUAAAGAAUUCUGUGGCAAUCCAACGGCACUUUUGGCUCUUAGCUGUAUAUCAGAUAGUAUGCGGACAAUUGAUGCACUUUUAACAUGCAAGACAAAAAGAAAGAGAGAUGGAGUUGAUUCAGUUUUGAGGAAAUCUAUCAAGAUAUCUGAACAAGAAGCAAAAGAUUCUGGUACAGGGGAUUUAUCAUCAGUGGAAUUCAUGAAAGAUCUACCUUUCCCACUAACGUAUUACACACUUACGGCUAGACAAUUGGAAGAAAAUGGAUAUUGUAUCAAUCAACCAGGUUUUCUUCAUACCCUUCCUGCACCUUCAGGUUCUUCACCCUAUGAUAUACUGGCACUGGAUUGUGAAAUGUGUAUCACAAAUGAGGGCUUUGAGCUGACAAGAGUAACCAUGGUGGAUAUCAAAGGACAGGUGGUAUUGGAUAAAUUGGUUAAACCAUCAAAUGUCAUCAUUGACUACAAUAC